RNAcentral lists this ribosomal RNA (300 nucleotides) under Triticum aestivum (bread wheat). RNAcentral's name for it is "partial small subunit ribosomal RNA". Lineage: Eukaryota; Viridiplantae; Streptophyta; Magnoliopsida; Poales; Poaceae. The record is from RNAcentral.
AUGAACCGGACUGGUCGUCUUGACCUCAUCAACUCAGUCCUCACGGCUACGAUCACCUUCUUCCUUACCUCUUUUGCCCCCAAUGCCUGGUUCACUAAAAAAUUUGACAAGAUGAGGAGGAAUUUCAUUUGGGCUGCUGAUGAAGAGGCCCAUGGAGGGAAAUGCCUCGUUAACUGGAAGAGGAUUUGCGCUCCAACGAGUGUGGGGGGCCUUGGCAUCAAGGAUGUUCAGGCCUUUAGCAGAUCCCUUAGGCUUAGGUGGCCUUGGUAUGAGUGGGACGGCUCGUAUAGACCCUGGAAA